Molecule: ribosomal RNA, 2441 nt
Filed under: Serratia marcescens
Lineage: Bacteria; Pseudomonadati; Pseudomonadota; Gammaproteobacteria; Enterobacterales; Yersiniaceae
Description: partial 23S ribosomal RNA
Rfam family: Bacterial large subunit ribosomal RNA
Source: RNAcentral
CGUACACUAAAAUGCACAGGUCGUGAGUUCGAUGAGUAGGGCGGGACACGUGACAUCCUGUCUGAAUAUGGGGGGACCAUCCUCCAAGGCUAAAUACUCCUGACUGACCGAUAGUGAACCAGUACCGUGAGGGAAAGGCGAAAAGAACCCCGGCGAGGGGAGUGAAAUAGAACCUGAAACCGUGUACGUACAAGCAGUGGGAGCACCUUCGUGGUGUGACUGCGUACCUUUUGUAUAAUGGGUCAGCGACUUAUAUUUUGUAGCAAGGUUAACCGUAUAGGGGAGCCGUAGGGAAACCGAGUCUUAACUGGGCGAAUAGUUGCAAGGUAUAGACCCGAAACCCGGUGAUCUAGCCAUGGGCAGGUUGAAGGUUGGGUAACACUAACUGGAGGACCGAACCGACUAAUGUUGAAAAAUUAGCGGAUGACUUGUGGCUGGGGGUGAAAGGCCAAUCAAACCGGGAGAUAGCUGGUUCUCCCCGAAAGCUAUUUAGGUAGCGCCUCGUGAACUCAUCUUCGGGGGUAGAGCACUGUUUCGGCUAGGGGGCCAUCCCGGCUUACCAAACCGAUGCAAACUCCGAAUACCGAAGAAUGUUAUCACGGGAGACACACGGCGGGUGCUAACGUCCGUCGUGAAGAGGGAAACAACCCAGACCGCCAGCUAAGGUCCCAAAGUCAUGGUUAAGUGGGAAACGAUGUGGGAAGGCAUAGACAGCCAGGAUGUUGGCUUAGAAGCAGCCAUCAUUUAAAGAAAGCGUAAUAGCUCACUGGUCGAGUCGGCCUGCGCGGAAGAUGUAACGGGGCUAAACCAUGCACCGAAGCUGCGGCAGCGACGCUUAGGCGUUGUUGGGUAGGGGAGCGUUCUGUAAGCCGUUGAAGGUGGCCUGUGAGGGUUGCUGGAGGUAUCAGAAGUGCGAAUGCUGACAUAAGUAACGAUAAAGCGGGUGAAAAGCCCGCUCGCCGGAAGACCAAGGGUUCCUGUCCAACGUUAAUCGGGGCAGGGUGAGUCGACCCCUAAGGCGAGGCUGAAAAGCGUAGUCGAUGGGAAACAGGUUAAUAUUCCUGUACUUGGUGUUACUGCGAAGGGGGGACGGAGAAGGCUAGGCUAGCCGGGCGACGGUUGUCCCGGUUUAAGCGUGUAGGGGGUGUGACCUGGUAAAUCCGGUUGCAUAUCAACCCUGAGGCGUGAUGACGAUGCACUACGGUGCAGAAGUAGUUGAUGCCCUGCUUCCAGGAAAAGCCUCUAAGCUCUAGGUAACAUUAAAUCGUACCCCAAACCGACACAGGUGGUCAGGUAGAGAAUACCAAGGCGCUUGAGAGAACUCGGGUGAAGGAACUAGGCAAAAUGGUGCCGUAACUUCGGGAGAAGGCACGCUGGCAUGUAGGUGAAGUCCCUUGCGGAUGGAGCUGAAGCCAGUCGAAGAUACCAGCUGGCUGCAACUGUUUAAUAAAAACACAGCACUGUGCAAACACGAAAGUGGACGUAUACGGUGUGACGCCUGCCCGGUGCUGGAAGGUUAAUUGAUGGGGUCAGCCGCAAGGCGAAGCUCUUGAUCGAAGCCCCAGUAAACGGCGGCCGUAACUAUAACGGUCCUAAGGUAGCGAAAUUCCUUGUCGGGUAAGUUCCGACCUGCACGAAUGGCGUAAUGAUGGCCAGGCUGUCUCCACCCGAGACUCAGUGAAAUUGAACUCGCUGUGAAGAUGCAGUGUACCCGCGGCAAGACGGAAAGACCCCGUGAACCUUUACUAUAGCUUGACACUGAACAUUGAGCCUUGAUGUGUAGGAUAGGUGGGAGGCUUUGAAGCGUGGACGCCAGUCUGCGUGGAGCCAUCCUUGAAAUACCACCCUUUAAUGUUUGAUGUUCUAACUCGGCCCCAUAAUCUGGGGUGAGGACAGUGUCUGGUGGGUAGUUUGACUGGGGCGGUCUCCUCCCAAAGAGUAACGGAGGAGCACGAAGGUUAGCUAAUCACGGUCGGACAUCGUGAGGUUAGUGCAAAGGCAUAAGCUAGCUUGACUGCGAGAGUGACGGCUCGAGCAGGUACGAAAGUAGGUCUUAGUGAUCCGGUGGUUCUGAAUGGAAGGGCCAUCGCUCAACGGAUAAAAGGUACUCCGGGGAUAACAGGCUGAUACCGCCCAAGAGUUCAUAUCGACGGCGGUGUUUGGCACCUCGAUGUCGGCUCAUCACAUCCUGGGGCUGAAGUAGGUCCCAAGGGUAUGGCUGUUCGCCAUUUAAAGUGGUACGCGAGCUGGGUUUAGAACGUCGUGAGACAGUUCGGUCCCUAUCUGCCGUGGGCGUUGGAAGAUUGAGAGGGGUUGCUCCUAGUACGAGAGGACCGGAGUGAACGCACCACUGGUGUUCGGGUUGUCAUGCCAAUGGCAUUGCCCGGUAGCUAAGUGCGGAAAAGAUAAGCGCUGAAAGCAUCUAAGCGCGAAACUUGCCU